GAUGAACGCUGGCGGCGUGCCUAAUACAUGCAAGUCGAGCGAACAGACGAGGAGCUUGCUCCUCUGACGUUAGCGGCGGACGGGUGAGUAACACGUGGAUAACCUACCUAUAAGACUGGGAUAACUUCGGGAAACCGGAGCUAAUACCGGAUAAUAUAUUGAACCGCAUGGUUCAAUAGUGAAAGACGGUUUUGCUUUCACUUAUAGAUGGAUCCGCGCCGCAUUAGCUAGUUGGUAAGGUAACGGCUUACCAAGGCAACGAUGCGUAGCCGACCUGAGAGGGUGAUCGGCCACACUGGAACUGAGACACGGUCCAGACUCCUACGGGAGGCAGCAGUAGGGAAUCUUCCGCAAUGGGCGAAAGCCUGACGGAGCAACGCCGCGUGAGUGAUGAAGGUCUUCGGAUCGUAAAACUCUGUUAUUAGGGAAGAACAAAUGUGUAAGUAACUAUGCACGUCUUGACGGUACCUAAACAGAAAGCCACGGCUAACUACGUG
Molecule: ribosomal RNA, 497 nt
Filed under: uncultured bacterium
Lineage: Bacteria
Description: partial 16S ribosomal RNA
Rfam family: Bacterial small subunit ribosomal RNA
Source: RNAcentral